GCCCAGAGCCCGACGCGGGGCUCGAACUCACGGACCACGAGAUCGUGACCUGGCUGAAGUCGGGCGCUUAACCGACUGUGCCACCCAGGCGCCCCUCUACUGUCUUUUAUAUAAGUGAAGGUUCUGCAUUGACAGACCCCACCUUGGGUUCGAUUAAUUUACUACAGCAGCUCACAGAACUCAGGGAAACAUUUUCUCGUACUUACUAGAUAGUAACUCAGGAACACACCACAUGGAAGAAAUGCGUAGGUCAAGUUAUGUGUGAAGGGGUGCAGAGCCUCCAGCCUCUCUGAGUCAUCGCCCUCCCCAUAUCGCCAUAUGUUCACCAUGGAAGCUGUCAACCCCAUUCUUUUGGAUUUUUCAAGAGGUUUCUUUACAUAGGCAUGAUUGAUCAAAGCACUGGCCAUUGGCAGUUGGUUCAACCUCCAAUCCCUCUCUCCUCCCCAGAGGUCUGGGGUGGGACUGAAAGUUCUAACCCUCUAAACACAUGAUUGACUCCACUGGCAACCAGCCCUUGUCCUUAAAUCAUCCCACUAACAUAACAAAAGACAUCUUUAUCACUCUAAUCCUUAGGAAAUUCCAAGGGCUUUGUGAUCUGUGAGCCAGGAAGUUCGGGUGAAGAACAAAUACAGACAUGAAAUAUAUUCUCCUCAUCUGAAUGACCAAAUACAUAUUUUUUCUUAUAAGUCGUAAUAUCACAAUAUGAGUUAAAGCUGUUGCAGGAUACAAAUGAGAUUUGCUCCCAAUUACUUAAUUCUCCUCUGCCCAACCAUUUCCAAGGAAACUGAAUAUAUGUGUUAAUCUGUAAUCAUGGAACAUUACCAGUUCUAUUCAAAUUUUAAUGCACACCCACCAAAUUUUCACCGUUUGAGAUGACUCAUUUUCUCUAUACUUUCCUGCUGAGGUUGUAUAAUUAAGACAAUAAUAAAUCAUCCUAAUUAAAUGUUGGAAACUUAGCACAAACCAGGCAGGUGUGUGUAAGACCCUUUCAUGUUCUAACUUCAGAAAGAGAGGGAUAUAGCUCUUCCCUGAUUGGGGUCAAAAAUGUAUGGCUCCUACAUGCACUUGGGUGAUGAGCAAACAGCAUUCAACUAGUAGUACCACAAAUCAAAUUCAGCUUCUAACUAGCUGUGUUCUAGAACCCCAAGAAAUUCAUUUGGCCUCUCCAGGAUCUAUGAUCUCAUAGGUCAAUGGGGGGCUGUUAUCAUGGCCCCCAUCUGUCUUCAUAAUCUAAGGAAGACUAUGGAAUAUCAUGAGAAACAUGCUCAUAGCCAUAAAGUUUGCUAGUCAGUUUUAGGGAUUCAUGUGUCUAAGACUGUCUGCACCAGAAGAUAAAAUUCCUUCUUCCUCUUGCAUUCUAUGAUGUUAAGACUUAGUAGCUGAUAAUGAGGAAGACUUCGUUCAUCUUCUUAGUCUAUUCACAGGGCUAGUGGCUGAGGAUGAGGAAUGGCAAAUGCCUUGUAUAGCUAUCUUGUAUCCAUGGCAACUUUGAAUACUCUCAACCAGUCUGUGAAAAGAAUACUUAAGAUAUCUACAAGAGAUGAAAAUGUGGUUAUUACUGGUUCAGUGAAUUUAAUUAGUUUGACUACCUUUUGCACAAUAUGAAAUUUUUCUGGAGCCUACAAUGAAAUAAUUGAUAAGAAAGUCCUUUGGAAGCUAGAAAGUGCUAUCUAUACUACUCCUUCUUAAUUUUUAUGACAUAGAUUUAUACUAUAAAGAGCAAAAAAAAAAAAAAAAUCAAUGGCAAUAUGCUUACAUCCCCAGUUUUGACCAAACUCAUUAACUAACCUGCUGGGUCUAUAGAAGAACAAUCUGGUAUAGCUAAAAGUUUAUCAACCUAAAUAAAGAGGUAAACUGAGGCAAGCUCAAAUUACCAGAAAUUGAGUUUAUUUGGGAACAGCAGAGGAACUGCAAUUCCAUAAAUGCGUGACGUUGCAGGCUACAGGUGAGUCUGCUGAGGGUUUGGAGCAGGCUGUAUUUAUAGGCAAGUUGUGCAAAGAGGGGGAUGUCCAGCCAGAGUCCAAGCAGUGAGUUCCAUGGCUUGCGAAUGGGAAAAGAUUCUUGGCAGUUGCUCAUUGGUCAGGGGAUAAGUCUUGGUCUUCUGUACAUCAGACAUUUCUGAGAAAUCAGUCUCUAGGUUCUUAAGUUCUGUUCUUCUAGGAGGUGCGUGUGCGACAUUCUCCGUUUCAUAUAAUCAGGUUCCACUUUAGAUUGAAGUCCUUUUACAAGUUACCAGGAAUUUUUGAAGAAAUAAAAUAUUGGCACAAUAUGAUUUGUCUACCUUUUCCCUGUCUUACUUACCUUCUUUACUUACCUUCCUUACCUUCAACUUACCUUCCUUAAACAUCUCUUGACCGCCCAACAUGUCAGACACCGACCUGAGAGCUAGGUACAGAGCAGGUGUCCUUUAAUUCCAUAGUUAGCCUGAGUUAACCUAUAGAUUUGCUGUCAAAAGGUCUAACCUGGGCAGUUGCAUCUAGUUCACCCUGUAGGUACACUGUGCAGCCCAUUCUACAAACAUUGACCAGGUGCCUGCUUCCUGCCAGCUACUGUAUCACAUGCAUGUGGACUUUGUCUUCAAGCAGUUCAUGUUGUUUUGGAGGGAGCCUGACACGCAAGCUAACAAUCACGAUAAGAUACAGCGACCACAUGUCCUAUCUGUAAAGUGUGGUCAUUCAGUGAUUCAGGUUUCCUCCAUUGCGUGACCUCACAGUCUCCUCAGGCAAUGUCAUCCUCUGCAUGAAUGAGGUGUGGUUGAUCUGGAUUCCAGUAGAAAGGAGGAAUAGAAUAUCGAGGAGGAGUCAGACUUGAAACCCUUCUCGUGUGAAAAUCUGGAAGCUGCAAACAGCCCAUUUUACACCUGAGUACCCCACCCAUAGGUUGCUGAGGCAACUCUGCUGCUUACAUGUGGAGAAAAAACUGACUCAGAGCUUGAAUGGUUUGAAGUGUGCGAGAACCAUGAGAUACAGUUUAUGUUUCUUGAUGAAGAAAUCACUUGGCUACUUUAGAAUCCAAGUUGGUGCUUAUUUUUCAAGCCAGCAGUCACAGUUGUUUGCAGAGCAGAUGUGGAUUACAGGUGAAUAUUCAGGAGGGAGCCCAUGGCCUGGAGAGGAAGCUGGUGACCAGGGAAGAGCAGAAGAGUGAAAUCUGCUGCCAUUUACCAUGGCAGACUGCCAUGGGCACAAUGGCUAACUCUGCAGGAGUAAUCUGACUUCAAACAACGGAAAAGUCAGUGCUGGGCGUUCUUGGUUCCAGUGGGAAAUAGUUUUAAUAAGGUUCUGGGACAUCUCCUAGAGAAAGGAAAUGUCCAGUGAUUACUCAGAACUAUGUUAAUUGUGGAUGUAUCAAAGAUUACUGAACGCCCUUUGCAAUAUUUUCCUGAGGCAGAUGGAGAAUAAACACCUUCAUUACGGGUGCUCAGAUGAUCCACUGUGCUGAAUUACAUUGAGAAGCACCUGGAUCUUCCAAGCUGGCAGGUUUCGGAGAAAAGAGAAGGAGAAUGGUCUAAAGGUGGAAAGGAGGAAGAAGAAAGGGCUAUGAGGUCUACAGGAGAAGAGCCCUUUUCCACUUGUAAUCUCUGCUGGAAGAGGAGGUGUGUGUCGUCUGUCUCGACCCUUAUGGAUGGAAGAGAAACUUCGGGGGAAGCCUGACAUAUUCCAUACAACCAGACCUUUGCAGUCCUGAUGACACGGAUGGAAGUCUUAUGUAGGCAAGGCCUUGUUCCAGUGCUCUGGUCCAUUUAACACUGGGAUAUUACAUUCUAGUGCCAGAAUGGUCCAGAAUUUGAGUUUUUUGGUUUUUUUUUUUUUUUUUAAUUUGCAGGGACAUAAAAUAUUUAAUGGAUGAAGAAUCUAAGAAAACUUCAAGCUCAACUCCUCAGUUUCACAAGACAGAAAACUGAGGCUGAGGAGGUUUGAGAGCCUCUGCUGAGUUUUUUUCUAACGAUAAUGAGGAUUAUAACUCCGAUACUCUGACAUCUAAGUACCAACCACACUGUGCUGAUGCUUAGAUGUUCAUAGUUUUAAUUAGAAAACAAAACAAAACAAAUCUUUCCCGCUCAGAAAAUAUACAGAUUCUUUACUGCUCAAAUUAAAAGUUUUCUUUUAAAACUUGUGUCUUGAGAACAGGAAUAAAGAGUUUGCUGUGA
Molecule: long non-coding RNA, 4147 nt
Organism: Felis catus (domestic cat)
Lineage: Eukaryota; Metazoa; Chordata; Mammalia; Carnivora; Felidae
Exons: 9
Source: RefSeq, a predicted model, not a curated record